This is a small nucleolar RNA of Meriones unguiculatus (Mongolian gerbil), 119 nucleotides long. RefSeq annotates it as small nucleolar RNA SNORA44. NCBI's taxonomy places the organism in Eukaryota, Metazoa, Chordata, Mammalia, Rodentia, Muridae. The transcript has a single exon. The record is from RefSeq and is a predicted model, not a curated record.
UAGCAUGUUUCCAAGAGCUGUGGCCAUGGGAUCUCCAAUUGUACACCAGAGUAACUGAGGGACUUUGACAGCCCAGGUCAACGCAGUGCCUGCAGCUGCCACUCAGCUUUCCUGUAUAC